UGCAAGUCGAACGAGUUCUCGUUGAUGAUCGGUGCUUGCACCGAGAUUCAACAUGGAACGAGUGGCGGACGGGUGAGUAACACGUGGGUAACCUGCCCUUAAGUGGGGGAUAACAUUUGGAAACAGAUGCUAAUACCGCAUAGAUCCAAGAACCGCAUGGUUCUUGGCUGAAAGAUGGCGUAAGCUAUCGCUUUUGGAUGGACCCGCGGCGUAUUAGCUAGUUGGUGAGGUAAUGGCUCACCAAGGCGAUGAUACGUAGCCGAACUGAGAGGUUGAUCGGCCACAUUGGGACUGAGACACGGCCCAAACUCCUACGGGAGGCAGCAGUAGGGAAUCUUCCACAAUGGACGCAAGUCUGAUGGAGCAACGCCGCGUGAGUGAAGAAGGCUUUCGGGUCGUAAAACUCUGUUGUUGGAGAAGAAUGGUCGGCAGAGUAACUGUUGUCGGCGUGACGGUAUCCAACCAGAAAGCCACGGCUAACUACGUGCCAGCAGCCGCGGUAAUACGUAGGUGGCAAGCGUUAUCCGGAUUUAUUGGGCGUAAAGCGAGCGCAGGCGGUUUUUUAAGUCUGAUGUGAAAGCCCUCGGCUUAACCGAGGAAGCGCAUCGGAAACUGGGAAACUUGAGUGCAGAAGAGGACAGUGGAACUCCAUGUGUAGCGGUGAAAUGCGUAGAUAUAUGGAAGAACACCAGUGGCGAAGGCGGCUGUCUGGUCUGUAACUGACGCUGAGGCUCGAAAGCAUGGGUAGCGAACAGGAUUAGAUA
This 764-nucleotide ribosomal RNA is filed under the name Lactobacillus casei group sp. RNAcentral's name for it is "bacterial SSU rRNA". It matches the Rfam family "Bacterial small subunit ribosomal RNA", at positions 56 to 784 of the family's 1533-position model. Lineage: Bacteria; Bacillati; Bacillota; Bacilli; Lactobacillales; Lactobacillaceae. The record is from RNAcentral.